AUGGCUGCUACUGCUUGGCCACGGGACAUCUGGAACCAUUGGGCCAUCCAGAUCCUGGUGAUCUUCAGCCUCGGGCUCCAGAUAGCCCUCUUCCUCUUUGCCGGGAUCCGCAGGCGUGGAGNNNNNNNNNNNNNNNNNNNNNNNNNNNNNNNNNNNNNNNNNNNNNNNNNNNNNNNNNNNNNNNNNNNNNNNNNNNNNNNNNNNNNNNNCCACCUCUCCCUCACCGGCGCGGCAGGCGCGCACCCGAUCGUCGCGUUCUGGGCGCCAUUCCUCCUGCUGCACCUCGGAGGCCCGGACAACAUCACCGCCUACUCUUUGGAGGACAACGAGCUCUGGAAGCGGCACUUGCUGAAUGCCAUCCUUCAGGUGUCCGGAGCCGUGUAUGUCCUCUACGAGUAUAUCGCGGACACGGGCACAUUGCUCCGGCUUGCCUCCAUCUUGAUGUUGGCCAUCGGUGCUGUCAAGUACGGGGAGAAGACGUGUGCGCUCAUGCGCAGCAACCUGGACAGAAUCCGAGCCUCUCUCAAGAAGCAACCACAUGCCAUGCAUGGACAUUUCCACCCUCAAGAUCAAGUGUUGAAGGAUGGAGAAUUAGACGAGGAAUCCCUUGUGCGAAGAGCUCACUCGCUGUUCCACAUAUGCAAGCAUGCCAUAGUUGAUUACCCAGUGAUGGAAGAUGAUUCACACAGCCAAGAUACCACCAAAAUGAUAGGCGAGGUCGGUUUAUGGAGAUUAGUGGAGGUUGAGCUCUCCCUCAUGUAUGACAUGCUGUACACCAAGGCAAGUGUCAUCCACACCUGGUUCGGCUACUUGGUGCGUCUCAUCUCACCACUCGCCAUAGCCGCAUCAUUGCUGCUUUUUAUGUUCGUCGACAAGGAAGCCCACCGCAGAGUUGAUGUCAAUAUCACCUACAUAUUGUAUGGUGGUGCCUUGUUCAUGGAGAUGAUGUCGAUGCUGAACGCCCUAGGCUCCUCUUGGACAUUUGUCUUCCUGAGUACCACGAGAUGCCACUGGCUUCAAUACGCAGCUCUGUGCAAUCGAAGAUGGGACCGGCUUAGGCGUGCUGUUGUAUAUCUUCACCAUCUUGUCAGGGUAGGAGGAGGUAGCCGGUACAGCUCAAGGAGGUGGUCACAUAGCAUGGGACAGUACAAUAUGUUGCACCUUUGCACUGGUUCUGACAGUGCACUCACGAGGCCUCUUCUUGGGAGUUUGGCCAAGGUUGUGGGACUGGGAUUGACGGAGCUUUGGAACAAGGAGUAUUACUCAUGGGAUAUUAACAUGGCGGACCAUAUAAAGGUUUGUAUAUCUGAACAUAUUAAGAAUUUAUACAGUGAUGGGAGUGUGAACUCACUGGGCAUGCUCAAGAACAAGUGGGGUGAGGAACCACUGGUUCGCAGGGAUUUGUUUGGAGGGAUAUUUGAAGACUCCCUGGGUGUUGAUUUCCAAGAGUGCAUCAUCAUCUGGCACAUCGGCAGCGCUAUUUUCCUGGCCAAGAGCCAGCAAGCCAAAGAAGAGGACGCAUUGCUGGAUGUGGAGGCCAUCAAGGCGAUAUCAAACUACAUGAUGUUCCUUCUCGUGAAACAGCCAGACACACUACCAGGCCGCUCCCAAAACAGGUUGUAUGAACUAACCUGUACAAAGCUGGUCAAGACCAGGCGAUCGACUCAUAGGCGUCAAAACAUGAACCUACGUGCUACGCUCAAGAAUCUGUUCAGCCUACAUGAUGGCCCUGAUUCCAAUUCCAGGGCCACUGACAGAGAGGAGCUUGCAAAAGAGCUAUAUGAUGAGUAUGAGGGCAAAAGCUUCAGCUACGAUGCUCCUCGUCUCCCCCUUGUAGCUGAACUUGCUAAGGAACUGCUAAGAAUGGAGAAGGAAGGCAGCAUGGUUAACUCGGUGCGACUUGUCCUUGACGUGUGGAGGGAUAUUCUUUUUUACGCAGCCAGCAACUGCAGCAGGAAAUUCUAUGCCGAGAAGCUGAGCAAUGGCGGUGAGUUGACAACCAUCGUGUGGCUUGUGGCAGAACACUUAUACCAACUAUUUGUCAAGAGCCUGAUCAAAAGAUUGAAAAAGGAUAAUGAUUUAGCAUGA
Molecule: ribosomal RNA, 2088 nt
Filed under: Triticum aestivum (bread wheat)
Lineage: Eukaryota; Viridiplantae; Streptophyta; Magnoliopsida; Poales; Poaceae
Description: partial small subunit ribosomal RNA
Source: RNAcentral